CUUCAAAUCAUUAUUCCAUUUCUCUCUCCUCCAUCAUCGUCUUCCCCUCUCUCUCUAAAAACUUGAAUUCCUCUCGCCUUUCAUUGCGAAUUCCUCAAAGGCCAAUCUUCAAUUGCCCUAAUUCGUCCCUUUCCCCAUUUGAGGAUUCCUCUGAUCCUCGAUUACAGGAACGCCUUCAUCUUUGUCGCGGAUCCUCUUUUCCAGGGGAGAAUUUGUUCUGUUGUUCUUGAAUUUUGCUUUGUUUUCAAUCGAGUUCUUCUUGUUUUGCUCUCUUCGGAAAUUUAGGAUCUCGGCGACAUGAGCUUUCAAGAUAUCGAGGCUGGUCGCCCGUUUGCUUCUUCGAGGAGAGACCUCAUCAAUGGCAAACAAGAUCCCACGCAAGCCGUUGCCUCAGGUAUAUUUCAGAUUAAUACUGCCGUUGCUACGUUUCAGAGGCUUGUUAACACCUUAGGUACGCCGAAGGAUACGCCUGAGCUACGGGAGAAGCUGCACAAGACCAGGUUACAUAUUGGACAGUUGGUUAAAGAUACCUCUGCCAAACUUAAACAAGCCAGUGAAAUAGAUCAUCAUGCAGAAGUUAAUGCCAGCAAGAAAAUUGCAGAUGCUAAACUUGCAAAAGAUUUUCAAGCAGUGUUGAAAGAAUUUCAGAAGGCUCAACGACUUGCAGCUGAGAGGGAAACAGCAUAUACACCUUUUGUUCCCCAGACUGUUCUACCUUCUAGCUACACAGCAGGCGAAUCAGAUGCAAGCUCCGAAAAGAAUCUUGAACAGCGUGCUCUCCUUGUGGAAUCCAGGAGACAAGAGGUCUUGCUGUUGGACAAUGAAAUCGCCUUCAAUGAGGCAAUAAUUGAGGAAAGAGAGCAAGGUAUUCAUGAAAUCCAGCACCAAAUUGGAGAAGUGAAUGAAAUUUUUAAAGAUCUUGCAGUUUUAGUCCAUGAACAGGGAGCCAUGAUUGAUGAUAUUGGAUCCAACAUAGAGGGCUCCCAUGCUGCAACAUCACAGGGAACAACUCAGCUGGUAAAAGCCUCAAAGACGCAAAGAUCAAAUUCAUCUCUGGCUUGCUUACUUUUGGUGAUAUUUGGUAUUAUCCUCCUGAUUGUGAUCAUAAUAGUUGUUGCUUAAAUGAAAGAAGAAGAAGUGCAUUGACACAGGAAACACUUGCUGCUGUUGUAGCAAGAUGAAUGUCCUGUUAGUUUCUUUUGAUAUAACUGUACUUUGUGGUCGUGGAUCAUCCUGCCUUCUGGGAAAGGGUUGUGGAGGGGCUCUUAUGUAUAAUACUCUAUAUCCUCAGUCAGGUCGGCCAUCCUCUUCUCUUCCAUUUGGAAAUGUUAUAACCUGUGUUGUGUGAAGAAGCAUUUACCCCAUUUGCAUGGUGGCUGGUAAAAUGCGAGGGAGAGAGACAGAGCUCUCUCCCACUCACUCUAUGGUUGGGAUAUGGUUUGUAAUAAAUAAAAGGAUUGGUCGUCUUGUUGGUGCUUUUUUGGAUUUACCAGACUGUAACUUAGUGACUACUGAAUCGUGAUGGUAAAACUGGCUGCUGUUCUUGUGUUUUGGGCUAAAAGAGAAUCCUUUUCUUU
RNA transcript from Cucurbita moschata (crookneck pumpkin), 1577 nucleotides. It is a transcript of the gene named syntaxin-22-like, with no coding region annotated. The transcript has 8 exons. NCBI's taxonomy places the organism in Eukaryota, Viridiplantae, Streptophyta, Magnoliopsida, Cucurbitales, Cucurbitaceae. The record is from RefSeq and is a predicted model, not a curated record.